Molecule: ribosomal RNA, 500 nt
Filed under: uncultured Glomeromycotina
Lineage: Eukaryota; Fungi; Glomeromycota
Description: partial small subunit ribosomal RNA
Rfam family: Eukaryotic small subunit ribosomal RNA
Source: RNAcentral
CCAAUAGCGUAUAUUAAAGUUGUUGCAGUUAAAAAGCUCGUAGUUGAAUUUCGGGAUUAGUAAGUUGGUCGUGCCUCUGGUAUGUACUGGCUUUACUGGUUCCUCCUUCUUGAAGAACUGUAAUGUCAUUAAUUUGGUGUUGCAGGGAAACAGGACUGUUACUUUGAAAAAAUUAGAGUGUUUAAAGCAGGCUAACGCUUGGAUACAUUAGCAUGGAAUAAUGAAAUAGGACGUUUGAUCCUAUUUUGUUGGUUUCUAGGAUUGACGUAAUGAUUAAUAGGGAUAGUUGGGGGCAUUAGUAUUCAAUUGUCAGAGGUGAAAUUCUUGGAUUUAUUGAAGACUAACUACUGCGAAAGCAUUUGCCAAGGAUGUUUUCAUUAAUCAAGAACGAAAGUUAGGGGAUCGAAGACGAUCAGAUACCGUCGUAGUCUUAACCAUAAACUAUGCCGACUAGGGAUCGGAUGAUGUUAAUUUUUUAAUGACUCAUUCGGCGCCUUACG